This 468-nucleotide ribosomal RNA is filed under the name uncultured bacterium. RNAcentral describes it as "partial 16S ribosomal RNA". It matches the Rfam family "Bacterial small subunit ribosomal RNA", at positions 28 to 507 of the family's 1533-position model. The record is from RNAcentral.
GACGAACGCUGGCGGCGUGCUUAACACAUGCAAGUCGAACGGAAAGGCCCUGCUUUUGUGGGGUGCUCGAGUGGCGAACGGGUGAGUAACACGCGAGUAACCUGCCCUUGACUUUGGGAUAACUUCAGGAAACUGGGGCUAAUACCGGAUAGGAGCUCCUGCUGCAUGGUGGGGGUUGGAAAGUUUCGGCGGUUGGGGAUGGACUCGCGGCUUAUCAGCUUGUUGGUGGGGUAGUGGCUUACCAAGGCUUUGACGGGUAGCCGGCCUGAGAGGGGGACCGGCCACAUUAGGACUGAGAUACGGCCCAGACUCCUACGGGAGGCAGCAGUGGGGAAUAUUGCACAAUGGGCGGAAGCCUGAUGCAGCAACGCCGCGUGCGGGAUGACGGCCUUCGGGUUGUAAACCGCUUUCGCCUGUAACGAAGCGUGAGUGACGGUAAUGGGUAAAGAAGCACCGGCUAACUACGUG